CGAAAGACUCGGCAGAGAUCCCGAGGGACCUCGCGACCCCAGGCCACUUCACUAUCACCCAGGCGCCCGGACCCCAGCCUAGGACUGGGGGUUCCCGGGCCCUGGACAACUCGGCACACUUGGACACCCCCUAGAUGCCCAGACCUCCGAACCCCUCCCCGGUACCCGGGCCUGACCCAGGGUGAAGAGGUAGCAGGCCUGACGGGAGAAGAUACCACCACCCUGAUGCAACCUUCCAAGUCAACUGGAUCCCUUCUUCUGCUCCACUCCCUCAGGAAAACCCUUAUCCUUUUCCCGUAGGGCAAGGGGGCACAGGAGCCAAAUCUAUUGCUCAGCCAUAUACGUACUGAUCCACACAUGAAUUUUAAAAGAAUGUUAAGUUAACUGCUGUCAUUUAAAAUCAAGGAUAUUUCACAGGAAAAUCCACGUGUCUGGCUCCUCUUGAUGAACGGAAGUGACUGGCCAUCCUGGGCCUGCAUUUUCCAUGGCCAUUGCCGCUGCCCCCUCUGGAGGAGGCUCUUCAGGAGCGCCCACCACACCCACUGCUACCUGCAGGGGGAAAACUUCCAAACCUGGAUCCUUCCAGCAUCAGACCUGUACAUGCAUCUGCCGUCCUGCCAGCUCCUGACUGGCCCACAGGCCUUUCGGACCAAACGUGUCAAAUCUGAGCACUUCGCGUUCCCGGAACCUGCUCCUCCUCUGGUAUUCCCGAGCUUGGGGAAUAGCGCUGCUGCCCACCCAGGCUUGUGGGCCAGAAACUCAGCUGAAGAGUUAUCACCCUGCUGCCCAGGUACCAAACACAAGCCAUUCUGCUUCUUAAAAAAUUCUCAGCCCCAGUCCCUCCUCUCUACCCCUCCAGCCCCUACUUCUGCGCCUAGACCUGAGAGAGCCUCCUGACUGGUCCCACUGUACCUCUGCUCCGCCCUACCCUCGUCCUUACCAAAAACGACCAUUUUAUUGAGUGUUUAGUACCUUUCAGGUAUUGCGAUAAGUGCGUUGCAAGAAUCACUUCAUUUAAUCCCCACAGGGUAUUAGUAUGAACCCCAGACUACAGAUGAGAAAACAAGCCUUGAAAAGUAGAGCUAUCCAUCCACGGCUAUAUAUUCAAGCAGGACAGGAGUCACAGUGGAUGACACCCAUGGGUGCCAGACUCCAGGGCCCAAGCUGGAAAUCACUGUGCCGUCCAGCCUCUCUGCUUUGUCCACUUCCAGUCACAAGUCUCUCCUUGAGGUAGAAAUUAAGGCCUCUUCAGUCCUGGAUUCCCCCGUGCCAAGCACAGAGCUGGCCUUGAAGAGGCCCCAGCAACAUAUCCCCGAACACUACAUGUGCAGGGAUGGUGAUUCCCAGCAACCGCUCUCUUUGCUCCUGUGCUGAAGGCUGACUGGGAGCUCCUCAAGGGCCCAGGCUCGCACUCAGAAAGUCUGUGCUUUCAGUCAGUAUUUGUAACUGAAUGAAUAAUACAGGUUACAGUUAGGGCACUGAGUAGUUUCUACUUCCUGGGUACUGUCCUCGGUUCUCUAUGUACAUUAGCUCAUAAAGACACUACGACAUUGGGGAGAUUAUGUGCUAUGGUGAGCGCUGUGAAUUGUGUAAGACUGUUGAAUCACAGACCUGUACCUUUGAAAUAAAUAAUACACUAUAUGUUAAAAAAAAAAAAAAAAGAUAGCAGGAAGGGAAAAAUGAAGGGGGGGUGGAGAUCGGAGGGGGAGACGAACCAUGAGAGACUAUGGACUCUGAGAA
Molecule: long non-coding RNA, 1740 nt
Organism: Mirounga angustirostris (Northern elephant seal)
Lineage: Eukaryota; Metazoa; Chordata; Mammalia; Carnivora; Phocidae
Exons: 3
Source: RefSeq, a predicted model, not a curated record